This 254-nucleotide ribosomal RNA is filed under the name uncultured bacterium. RNAcentral's name for it is "partial 16S ribosomal RNA". It matches the Rfam family "Bacterial small subunit ribosomal RNA", at positions 524 to 776 of the family's 1533-position model. The record is from RNAcentral.
UACGGGGGGAGCAAGCGUUGUUCGGAUUUACUGGGCGUAAAGGGCGCGUAGGCGGCCUCUGCAAGUCGACUGUGAAAUCUCCGGGCUUAACCCGGAACGGUCAGCCGAUACUGCAGGGCUAGAGUGCAGAAGGGGCAACUGGAAUUCUCGGUAUAGCGGUGAAAUGCGUAGAUAUCGAGAGGAACACCUGCGGCGAAGGCGGGUUGCUGGGCUGACACUGACGCUGAAGUGCGAAAGCUAGGGGAGCGAACGGG